UGCAUAUCAAAAGCGGAGGAAAAGAAACCAACUGGGAUUGCCUUAGUAACGGCGAGUGAAGCGGCAAAAGCUCAAAUUUGAAAUCUGGUACCUUUGGUGCCCGAGUUGUAAUUUGUAGAGUACCACUUUGGGACUAUACUUUGCCUAUGUUCCUUGGAACAGGACGUCAUGGAGGGUGAGAAUCCCGUGUGGCGAGGGUGUUAGUUCUUUGUAAAGGGUGCUCGAAGAGUCGAGUUGUUUGGGAAUGCAGCUCUAAGUGGGUGGUAAAUUCCAUCUAAAGCUAAAUACAGGCGAGAGACCGAUAGCGAACAAGUACAGUGAUGGAAAGAUGAAAAGAACUUUGAAAAGAGAGUGAAAAAGUACGUGAAAUUGUUGAAAGGGAAGGGCAUUUGAUCAGACAUGGUGUUUUGCGCCCCUCGCUCCUUGUGGGUGGGGGACUCUCGCAGCUCACUGGGCCAGCAUCAGUUUUUGCGGCAGGACAAAACCUUGGGAAUGUAGCUGUGCGCCUCGGUGUACAGUGUUAUAGCUCUUGGGAAUACUGCCAGCGGGGACUGAGGACUGCGAUACUUGUUAUCUAGGAUGCUGGCAUAAUGGUUAUAUGCCGCCCGUCUUGAAACACGGACCAA
Molecule: ribosomal RNA, 626 nt
Filed under: Nakaseomyces nivariensis
Lineage: Eukaryota; Fungi; Ascomycota; Saccharomycetes; Saccharomycetales; Saccharomycetaceae
Description: eukaryotic LSU rRNA
Rfam family: Eukaryotic large subunit ribosomal RNA
Source: RNAcentral